GAUGAACGCUGGCGGCGUGCCUAAUACAUGCAAGUCGAGCGAACAGACGAGGAGCUUGCUCCUCUGACGUUAGCGGCGGACGGGUGAGUAACACGUGGAUAACCUACCUAUAAGACUGGGAUAACUUCGGGAAACCGGAGCUAAUACCGGAUAAUAUAUUGAACCGCAUGGUUCAAUAGUGAAAGACGGUUUUGCUGUCACUUAUAGAUGGAUCCGCGCCGCAUUAGCUAGUUGGUAAGGUAACGGCUUACCAAGGCAACGAUGCGUAGCCGACCUGAGAGGGUGGUGGGCAACGGUAGAACAGAAACACGGCCAAGCCUCCAAGGGGGGGAAGAAGGGGGAAACUUUCAGAAAGGGGGGAAGUCUGGACGGGACAACGCCGCGUGAGUAAUGAGGGUUUUAGGAUCUAAAAACUUUUUUAUUGGAAAAAAAAAAAUGUGAAAGUAAAUAGACGCUUUUUGACGUUCCCUACUCAAAAGCCCAGGGCAAACUCCGGG
This 497-nucleotide ribosomal RNA is filed under the name uncultured bacterium. Its description in RNAcentral is "partial 16S ribosomal RNA". It matches the Rfam family "Bacterial small subunit ribosomal RNA", at positions 28 to 507 of the family's 1533-position model. The record is from RNAcentral.